GAUGAACGCUGGCGGCGUGCUUAACACAUGCAAGUCGAACGAAGCACUUUAUUUGAUUUCCUUCGGGACUGAUUAUUUUGUGACUGAGUGGCGGACGGGUGAGUAACGCGUGGGUAACCUGCCUUGUACAGGGGGAUAACAGUUGGAAACGGCUGCUAAUACCGCAUAAGCGCACGGCAUCGCAUGAUGCAGUGUGAAAAACUCCGGUGGUAUAAGAUGGACCCGCGUUGGAUUAGCUAGUUGGUGAGGUAACGGCCCACCAAGGCGACGAUCCAUAGCCGAGAUGAGAGGGUGUCCGGCCACAUUGGGACUGAGACACGGCCCAAACUCCUACGGGAGGCAGCAGCGGGGAAUAUUGCACAAUGGGCGAAAGCCUGAUGCAGCGACGCCGCGUGAGCGAAGAAGUAUUUCGGUAUGUAAAGCUCUAUCAGCAGGGAAGAUAAUGACGGUACCUGACUAAGAAGCACCGGCUAAAUACGUG
This 481-nucleotide ribosomal RNA is filed under the name uncultured bacterium. RNAcentral describes it as "partial 16S ribosomal RNA". It matches the Rfam family "Bacterial small subunit ribosomal RNA", at positions 28 to 507 of the family's 1533-position model. The record is from RNAcentral.